GUGGGGAAUAUUGGGCAAUGGGCGAAACCCUGACCCAGCGACGCCGCGUGAGGGAAGAAGGCCUUAGGGUCGUAAACCUCUGUUGUGUGGGAAGAAGAGCGUGACGGUACCACACGAGGAAGUCCCGGCUAACUACGUGCCAGCAGCCGCGGUAAUACGUAGGGGACGAGCGUUGUCCGGAUUUACUGGGCGUAAAGGGCGCGUAGGCGGUCAUUUAAGUCAGCUGUGAAAUGGUUUGGCUUAACCGGAUCAUGCGGUUGAAACUGGAUGACUGGAGUGCUGGAGAGGCAAGUGGAAUUCCCAGUGUAGCGGUGAAAUGCGUAGAUAUUGGGAAGAACACCGGUGGCGAAGGCGACUUGCUGGCCAGCAACUGACGCUGAGGCGCGAAAGCCAGGGGAGCAAACGGGAUUAGAAACCCUAGUAGUCC
Molecule: ribosomal RNA, 427 nt
Filed under: uncultured bacterium
Lineage: Bacteria
Description: partial 16S ribosomal RNA
Rfam family: Bacterial small subunit ribosomal RNA
Source: RNAcentral